This 817-nucleotide long non-coding RNA is filed under the name Fragaria vesca (wild strawberry). Its description in RNAcentral is "long non-coding RNA (FVES_LNC005475)". Lineage: Eukaryota; Viridiplantae; Streptophyta; Magnoliopsida; Rosales; Rosaceae. The record is from RNAcentral.
UCGCGUUUUGACCUAAAACCUCUCAACCAUUGGUUCAGGUAUGAAAAGAUAAGAGAGGAUUGACCUUGCCAAAGCCCAAUUCGGGCGUUGACUGAGCUGCAGACCAUCUCUUCUCUCUCGUGGUCUCCGACGAUGCACGUCGGAGUGGCGCCGUCUGGCCACCCCUGGCGAUGAGACCACCAUCAAUCUUUUCCUCUCUUUCUCUUCUACCUAACCCAGUCCAUGAAACUCUUAUGCAAUUCGAUUCAAAGCCAAACCGAGGGAGAGAAGCCCCGGCUGUUUUCCAGCGAAUCCUUGAGAUUCCGGCCACGACGUGACGAGUGGGAGGUAGGGUUACCUUCCUCUCUUCCUAUUUCACCUUCUGGUGCCUUUCUUUUUCCCAAAUCGUGCCUUAAUCAAAAACCCUUAUUUCUGUGUUUUCUGGGUUUCCCGGGUUCCUCCUCCGGCGAUGGUGUUUUGUGGAUUCCGGCGAGUUCUUCAGCGUGUUAGUGGGUCCUGUGAGCUUGGUUUGAAGUGGAGAUGGACCUUGGAGUGACUUGUAGAGCUGCACAUGUACUCUCUAUGGAUGCGUUUGGUAGAGCUGACAAAAAUGGAUAGGAUUUCAUACUAGAUUGGAAUGAGACUAGAUUGGAUAGCAGAUAUCAUUUCUGCAAACAAAUCUUGUGUUUGUGUGUUAGGAUUAGGAACAAGAUAAGAUAAGAAAACAAAGAAUUUUUUUUUUUUUUCCUAGAAAAUUCAGAAGCCUUCAUCAUUGAGAAAAUUCAGAUCCAAAUUCAAUCUCAUAACCCAUCCUCCAUUUUUGACGAUUCUAGUCCCA